UCCUACGGGGGGCAGCAGUCGGGAAUAUUGCGCAAUGGAGGAAACUCUGACGCAGUGACGCCGCGUAUAGGAAGAAGUUUUUCGGAAUGUAAACUAUUGUCGUUAGGGAAGAGAAAGGACAGUACCUAAGGAGGAAGCUCCGGCUAACUACGUGCCAGCAGCCGCGGUAAUACGUAGGGAGCGAGCGUUAUCCGGAAUUAUUGGGUUUAAAGGGUGCGCAGGCGGCACGGCAAGCCGGCGGUCAAAUCGCGGGGCUCAACCCCGCCCAGCCGUCGGAACUGCCGGGCUAGAGUGGGCGAGAAGUG
This 305-nucleotide ribosomal RNA is filed under the name uncultured bacterium. RNAcentral describes it as "bacterial SSU rRNA". It matches the Rfam family "Bacterial small subunit ribosomal RNA", at positions 337 to 659 of the family's 1533-position model. The record is from RNAcentral.